RNAcentral lists this ribosomal RNA (254 nucleotides) under uncultured bacterium. Its description in RNAcentral is "partial 16S ribosomal RNA". It matches the Rfam family "Bacterial small subunit ribosomal RNA", at positions 524 to 776 of the family's 1533-position model. The record is from RNAcentral.
UACGGGGGGAGCAAGCGUUGUUCGGAUUUACUGGGCGUAAAGGGCGCGUAGGCGGUCGUGACAAGUCACUUGUGAAAUCUCCGGGCUUAACUCGGAACGGUCAAGUGAUACUGUCGGACUAGAGUACAGAAGGGGCAACUGGAAUUCUCGGUGUAGCGGUGAAAUGCGUAGAUAUCGAGAGGAACACCUGCGGCGAAGGCGGGUUGCUGGGCUGAUACUGACGCUGAGGCGCGAAAGCCAGGGGAGCGGACGGA